RNAcentral lists this unclassified non-coding RNA (306 nucleotides) under Circinaria sp. RNAcentral's name for it is "partial contains 5.8S ribosomal RNA, internal transcribed spacer 2, and large subunit ribosomal RNA". The stretch from base 1 to 52 matches the Rfam family "5.8S ribosomal RNA", at positions 103 to 154 of the family's 154-position model. Lineage: Eukaryota; Fungi; Ascomycota; Lecanoromycetes; Pertusariales; Megasporaceae. The record is from RNAcentral.
AACGCAUCUUGCGCUCCUUGGUAUUCCGAGGAGCAUGCCUGUUUGAGUGUCAUUUGACCUUCUCAAUCACAUCGUUCUUGUUUUGAAUGUGUGUGGCUUGGAUGUGGGGGUAAAUAAUUUUUAUUUUUUGCAGGCUUCAAAUCAAGAAGCCGGCUCCCCUGAAAUGCAUUAGUGGUGUCUGAGCUGCUAUUGGUGUGAUAAAUUAUCUAUGCCUUUGGUAAUGCUGGUCAGCAUCGCUUAUAACGGACGUUGUGAUCAUUUGACAAAUUUGACCUCAAAUCAGGUAGGACUACCCGCUGAACUUAA